RNAcentral lists this long non-coding RNA (259 nucleotides) under Elaeis guineensis (African oil palm). RNAcentral describes it as "long non-coding RNA (EGUI_LNC014950)". The record is from RNAcentral. Lineage: Eukaryota; Viridiplantae; Streptophyta; Magnoliopsida; Arecales; Arecaceae.
UGGUGUGAGUGGUCCUUUGACCUACGAUGUCAUCGACUAUUCACAAUGAGGCUAUUCGGUUUGACUGCACGUUUUCUUGGUCCCUAGCCAUUCGGAUCCUUAUUGUGUAUGUUGGCUACAGUAGAUUUAGAUUCGCUGUUUAUAUUAUGAUGCAUCUAGAAGAAAUCUAUCGACCUUGGUAGAAAAGGAGAAGUCCUAUGUGAUUCACGAGACUGAGUUCAAAAAAUCUUUGGUCAAAGCAAGUGUGAAUACUGAAAAA